This is a long non-coding RNA of Vidua chalybeata, 1066 nucleotides long. RefSeq lists it as uncharacterized. The record is from RefSeq and is a predicted model, not a curated record. NCBI's taxonomy places the organism in Eukaryota, Metazoa, Chordata, Aves, Passeriformes, Viduidae. The transcript is spliced from 3 exons.
UCCUGUUGAAAAUGUUGUCUGGGGAAUACACGUGGUCACUAGCUAUGGGGAUGCACUGAAGUGAUCUCUGGUGCACAGCUUCACUGCAUGUCCCUGUCCCCUUCUGUUGGGAUUAGGGACCUCUGUACCAGGGAAUGAGCACAGAGACAUUAUAUUGCCAGUGGAAAGGCUGUCUACCAGAGUGAUAUUUUGUAUUUGAAUUCCUUGUGAGCAGAGGCAGGAGGAGACAGAAUCUGACUGGCACCGUGCAGAGCAGAAACUUUGACAGCAAAGAACCUGAAAGUCCUGGUCCCAGACCUGGGAACUGAGCUUCUGGCACUGCUAGGUGGCCCAGCAGCCACAGAAAGCCACGGCACAACAACACAGCUUUUUCUGGCUACUGCAGGAGUAGAGGGGCUGGAGAAUAUUUUAAAAACUAAACCCUAAGAAUAUGAAAGUCUAGGCUUCAAGUGCUAGAACUGUUCAGUGUGUGUGUUCCUCCAUUGCUGACCUUCUACCUAUGACUACCUUCAGCCACUGAUCCAGAAAGUUUUAUUCAUGGGUUUGAGACCAGAGCUCCACGCAGUCCAGAGACCAGGCAAAGUGCAUCACAGCUUGCUCAGCAAGCAACCUAAGGGUGCAGAGAAGAGCCACACCAUCACCUGUAUUUAUCAGAAACCACUCCUGAUACCAUCUGCAGGGAAUGCUGGUACAGUGUGGAAGGCCAGUUUCCAUCAAAAUCAUGAUUUGGGUUCACUCAUUGAAAGAGCAAGAGGAGACCACAGCCAUAUCUGCUUAGGAGUUGCUCUAUGGUGCAGUCAGCAGCUUCUGGCAGACAAGUACCACACAGGGACAGUGUCCAGGAGCCAGGCCCAGGAGUGGGACAGCCCUGCUUCACUCUGCUGCAUGCUGUCCACACAUCAGAGGAAGAGUGAGAAGCUUAUUGGAGACCAUCCCAAACUCUGUUAACCCUGAACCAGCCAGAGAAUAUUUCAACUGUGCAGUAACUAUAGCUUGUCUUGCUUGAGGUUGAUCCACGAUAAAGUAAAAAAAAAAGUGUGCAAGAUGCUACGGAAUAAAAAAUGGC